GGGCCGCUAGCUCAACUGGCAGAGCAGGAGACUUUUAAUCUCCGGGUUCAGGGUUCGAGUCCCUGGCGGCCCA
RNAcentral lists this transfer RNA (73 nucleotides) under Actinomycetes bacterium. RNAcentral describes it as "Actinobacteria bacterium tRNA-Lys". It matches the Rfam family "tRNA". Rfam says of the family: Transfer RNA (tRNA) molecules are approximately 80 nucleotides in length. Their secondary structure includes four short double-helical elements and three loops (D, anti-codon, and T loops). Further hydrogen bonds mediate the characteristic L-shaped molecular structure. tRNAs have two regions of fundamental functional importance: the anti-codon, which is responsible for specific mRNA codon recognition, and the 3' end, to which the tRNAs corresponding amino acid is attached (by aminoacyl-tRNA synthetases). tRNAs cope with the degeneracy of the genetic code in two manners: having more than one tRNA (with a specific anti-codon) for a particular amino acid; and 'wobble' base-pairing, i.e. permitting non-standard base-pairing at the 3rd anti-codon position. The record is from RNAcentral. RNAcentral also lists the same sequence under 1 other name. Lineage: Bacteria; Bacillati; Actinomycetota; Actinomycetes.